GAUGAACGCUGGCGGCGUGCCUAACACAUGCAAGUCGAGCGUGAACCGUCUGAAUGAAACUUCGGUCGAGUGAGGAUGGGGAAAGCGGCGGACGGGUGAGUAACGCGUAGGCAACCUGCCCCGUACAGAGGGAUAGCCUCGGGAAACCGGGAUUAAGACCUCAUAAUACCAUUAUCUCACAUGUGAUAAUGGUCAAAGAUUUUAUCGGUAUGGGAUGGGCCUGCGUCUGAUUAGCUGGUUGGUGGGGUAACGGCUCACCAAGGCGACGAUCAGUAGCCGACCUGAGAGGGUAAUCGGCCACAUUGGAACUGAGACACGGUCCAAACUCCUACGGGAGGCAGCAGUGGGGAAUAUUGCACAAUGGGCGAAAGCCUGAUGCAGCAACGCCGCGUGAGCGAGGAAGGCCUUUGGGUCGUAAAGCUCUGUCGAGGAGGAAGAUAAAUGACGGUUACUCCUCGAGGAAGCCCCGGCUAACUACGUGCCAGCAGCCGCGGUAAAUACGG
This 503-nucleotide ribosomal RNA is filed under the name uncultured bacterium. Its description in RNAcentral is "bacterial SSU rRNA". It matches the Rfam family "Bacterial small subunit ribosomal RNA", at positions 28 to 528 of the family's 1533-position model. The record is from RNAcentral.